CCUACGGGUGGCAGCAGUGGGGGAUAUUGGACAAUGGGGGAAACCCUGAUCCAGCGACGCCGCGUGGGUGAUGAAGUAUUUCGGUAUGUAAAGCCAUAUCUGCAGGGAAGAAGACAUGACGGUACCUGAGUAAGAAGCACCGGCGAAAUACGUGCCAGCAGCCGCGGUAAUACGGAGGGUGCAAGUGUUAUCCGGGUUUACUGGGUUGAAAGGGAGCGCAGGCGGCAAGGCAAGCUUGAUGUGAAAGGCCGCGGCGCAACCACGGGACUGCGUUGGGAACUGGCGGGCUGGAGUGCCGGGGAGGGAGGCGGAAUUCCUAGUGUAGCGGUGAAAUGCGUAGAUAGUAGGAGGAACACCAGUGGCGAAGGCGGCCUACUGGACGGUGACUGACGCUGAGGCUCGAAAGCGUGGGGAGCAAACAGGAUUAGAUACCCUAGUAGUC
RNAcentral lists this ribosomal RNA (442 nucleotides) under uncultured bacterium. Its description in RNAcentral is "partial 16S ribosomal RNA". It matches the Rfam family "Bacterial small subunit ribosomal RNA", at positions 338 to 795 of the family's 1533-position model. The record is from RNAcentral.